AAGGAAUAUUGCUCAAUGGGAGAAAUCCUGAAGCAGCAACGCCGCGUGGAGGAUGAAGGGUCUAUGACUUGUAAACUCCUGUAAAGAAGGAAAAAAUUCCCAUUAGAUGGGAGAUGAUGGUACUUCUGGAGUAAGCCCCGGCUAACUACGUGCCAGCAGCCGCGGUAAUACGUAGGGGGCAAGCGUUGUCCGGAUUUACUGGGUGUAAAGGGUGCUCAGGCGGAUUUGUAAGUCAGAGGUGAAAUCUUACAGCUUAACUGUGAAACUGCCUUUGAUACUGCAAGCCUAGGGUAUGGAAGAGAGUGAUGGAAUAUCUGGUGUAGCAGUGAAAUGCGUAGAUAUCAGAUAGAACACCAAUGGCGAAGGCAGUCACUUGGUCCAUUACUGACGCUAAAGCACGAAAGCGUGGGUAGCAAACA
This 419-nucleotide ribosomal RNA is filed under the name uncultured bacterium. RNAcentral describes it as "bacterial SSU rRNA". It matches the Rfam family "Bacterial small subunit ribosomal RNA", at positions 356 to 774 of the family's 1533-position model. The record is from RNAcentral.